GGGGGAGGCUCAGGCAUGGCCAUGGCCGGGUGCAGGUCCGGAACCCUGCCCCGCUGGGACAGCUAAGACCCCAGAAAUCCAGCACAGCAGCUGCUGGCCCAGGUGCUAAGCCCCUCACUGCCCGGGGCUGGCGGGGCGGCCGGCCGGCCGCUCCGAGCAGGGGGCCUGCCGAGCCCACGCCCACCCGGAACUCGCGCUGGCUCGCAAGCGCAGCGCGCAGCCCGGGUUCCCGCCUGCGCCUCUCCCUCCACACCUCCCGGCAAGCUGUGGGAGCCGGCUCCGGCCUUGGCCAGCCCAGAAAGGGGAUCCUACAGUGCAGCGGGGGGCUGAAGGGCUCCUCAAGCGCGGCCAGAGUGGGCGCCAAGGCCGAGGAGGCGCCGAGAGCGAGUGAGGGCUGCUAGGGCCGCCAGCAUGCUGUCACCUCUCAUAAUGGGUUUCUGGACAGUGUUGUUAACAAUUCAUGGCGUGUGUUUCUGUGUCGGAGGCAGGAGGGAGCUGAAAAGAUGCAGUUUUAUCUCCAAAGGAAAGACGAGGUUUUGCCAUGUUGCCCAAGCUGAUCUCGAACUUCUUGGCUCAAGUGAUCUGCCUGCCUUCCAAAGUGCUGGGAUUACAGGCAUGAGCCACCAAGCGCAGCCAUGAUUUAUUAGAUCACUUCUAAAAGCCCUCUCUCCAUCUCCAAGCCAGCAAGUGCUUCUUUGCACCCCAGCUCUAAAACAAAGCCCUUGGGGACACAAUCAAAGACAGUAGUUGCCAAGAGGAAUAGGGAGCAUGGAAAGAAGGUGCUGGAUGUGCAUACAGCUAACCUGGUAACUCCAAACUGGAUGAGCUCAUUCCUUGAGACUGGAAUUACAAAAUUGGAACAGCUCACUAAUAAUUGAAGAUGAUUUGGGAAAACCAUUAUCCUUCCUCAGGUUUUACAAGGUUUUUAUGACUCAUUUAUAAGGUCCUACAGCUAAAAAAAAUCAUGCUGUAUUUCAGAGAAGUUUAACUUGAAAAUAUUUUUUUCACUAAUUAAAAAUUCCCAUUAUACCUUAUAGUUGCAAUUGUAUCCUUAUUGCUGAAAGAUAUCCAUACUACCUACCACUUCUUUAAAAUUUAAAAAAUUCUAUAAAUAAAAAAUAUAACAAUUGCAAAUAUGUAAAUAACUUCCAACAUAAAACAAAAUUUAUAGUAAUUAUAAGAAGUUCUUUUAUACUAAAAAUUAAGUUGUAAUUAUGAUAGAAAUAAUCUGUAAAAGGUAUUUUUAGCAAAAUUUAUUAAUACGGGUAGCAAUAAUAAUACCCAAUUAUAUAUGCAUAUUGUUUGUAUUUUAGAACCUGUGACAAAUGAAAAUGGUUUUCCUAGAUAAGAACGAAACUGUGUUGGGUGGCUAACAAGAUUGAAACUCAUCUGACUUUGAGAAAUAAAUCAAUUUGGUUUGUUUAUUUACAAUCGUUAUUUUUCCUUUUACCAAUACCUAAGUUAUUUCACUGUAAAACUUUCAUAGAAGAAUUUCAGGAAAGGCUUGUAUUUACGUGUUAUAGAUGAGGUACACCACAGUGAUUUAGAUCAGCAGUCCCCAACCGUUUUGGCACCAGGGACCAGUUUCAUGGAAGACAAUUUUUCCACAGAUCAGGGGUGGGCAGAGUUUGGGGGAAUGGUUUCUGGAUGAUUCAAGCGGAUUACAUUUGUUGUGCACCAUAUUUCUAUUAUUAUUAUUGCAUUGUAAUAUGUAACAAAAUAGUUAUACAACUCCAUAAUGUAGACUCAGUGGGAGCCCUGAGCUUGUUUUCCUGCAACUAGACGGUCCCAUCUGAGGGUGAUGGGAGACAGUGACACCAAAGUGUGCUGCUUAUGUCCAGUCUACUUCGUAAUCUCAUUUUGAUUGCUGUCACUGCAGAAAACCCUGUAACAUUCUCAAAAUUCUAUUCUCUCUAGGGUAAAAUUAAACUGCGGGACAUAGCGCAGAAGACUUGUCACAAUUUAGGACCAACCUACCAAGACUUCUUGAUCUCUUUCCACUUCUUGCCCCUCACUGUGUUUGAUUUCUGCCUUCCAGUCUGAACUUCUCACUAUAUUCCAGAAAAGGCCUGUUAAAGAGAUCUGGUAGUCAAAAGCAACCUCUUUUUUGCUUGUGCUCUCUGUUAUACAUAAGAAACCAGUCCUGCUGCAGCUCCAUAUUUGCAUUACUAAUUUAAUCAGUUAGCGGGACACAUGCUCUUUAUAACCCAAAAAAUUGAAGCAUGAAAUUUGGGAGUCAUACCCAUCACCCAAAUGUGGCAUAACAAUGUUCUUCUUCCCCGCAAAGCAGUGUCCUUCCCCAAAGAAAUUCUGGGGAUUGGCAUUUUCUUCAUCCACUCCUUUCAUUAUUUCCUUUACCUAUUUCUCUGAGUCUAUUAGCAUCCUUGGAGGGGGGAAUGUAUCUUAUUUAUUGUUAUAUCUCCCAGGCUCACACAUCACUCAAUAAAGGUUUGUUGAAUGAAACAAUAAAUGGAUGCAAGACUAAAUGAACAAAGAAAAGCCACGGGGAAGAUAACAAUGUUAUGUCAUAAUUCAGGAUCAUCUUUUUCUGUUUUUUCCCCUCCAGCUUUAUUGAGGUAUAAUUGACAAAUAAAAAUUAUAUAUAUUCAAGGUGUCCAACAAGAUGUUUUGAUAUACAUAUACAUUGUGAAAUGAUUACCACAAUCAAACUAAUUAGCAUGUCCAUUACCUCACAUAAUUACCUUUUUUAUGUGUGCUGAGAAUACUUAAGAUUUGCUUUCUUAGCAAAUUUUAAGUAUACAAUACAUUAUGAUUAACUAUAGUCAUCAUACUUUACAGUAAGUCUCCAGAACUUACUUCAUCUGCAGGUUUGUACUCUGACCAACAUCAUCUUAUUUCACUCCCCACCCCACUUUCAGCACUGGUAACCACAUUUCUAUUCUAAGCCUUCUGGUGAAAUUUCUUUCUUAUUUCACUCCCAGUGAGUAACACAAGAGAAAAAUAAACAACAAAAGCCAGUCAAUAAUUAUAAAGUGAAUCUUACCAGUAUAGAGUUAUAAGCCUUGUUUUUACUUCACUGAUAAUGUUGUCGUGAACACUGUUUGAAUAAUGAAGACUAAAGGAAUGAUGGCAUGCACUGUGAGUUCUUGAUGUGGUUGAAGCAAAAUUCCCAACAAACAGACAUUUUGCUAUUUCAUUAGUGUUUAUGGCUGAU
RNAcentral lists this long non-coding RNA (3175 nucleotides) under Homo sapiens (human). RNAcentral's name for it is "HSALNT0210228". Lineage: Eukaryota; Metazoa; Chordata; Mammalia; Primates; Hominidae. The record is from RNAcentral.